UACGGACGCGCAAGGUAAGUGAAUCCCGAACCUACACUUUAGAUGUAAAAUGUAUUGUAGUAUAAUGAUUAUUGUGAAUCAUGUGAGAAAGUAUGAUACAAUGGAAGUAAUAAGGUAAGUUUACGGUAAAGGUGUCGAAAAUGGUUAGGAAAUAGUUUCUAUUAAGUAUAGGAAUGAAAGAAGCUUACAUGAUGGUAUUAUGCAUAAAGAUGAAAUAAGUAGUUAUACGCGUAGGUAUGGGUUAGUUUGUAAGUAAGUAAUUGGGAAUCAUAGGAGAGUAUGACUAUAAACUCGUAAGUAUGGAGAAUUAAGUGUAUGCAAAUUACAUGUAUUGACGGGUGCGUUUAGGAUUGAAAGUAAUAUUGUGUAGAAUGUAAGUUGUACGCACAUGUACAAAUAGAAAAGGGUAUGUAUGCAUGUAUUGGAAUAUAGUUAUAUGUAUAAAUGAAUGAGACUUGUUAUGCGUAUACAUUGAUAUGUUCGUAUGAAUGAAUUCUAAAGAUGCUAACCGUUUUCCUAUUUAGAAUGAAAUAGGGAAUGCAGGUAUACUAGUGAUGGAAGUUGAAGGUUGUACAGAACUGUGGAUUCUCAUCAUGGAGUGUAAAAGGUUGAAGAUCGAGUCAAGAGAUGGAUUGUACAUGUGGGUGCAUGGUCACGUAAUUUAAUAGUAGUAUGCCCGAUUUUUAUAAAUUUAUAGAAAGCAUUAAUGUAUUUAAGGUAAAAGAGUGAAUUAAUGUAUUUCUAAGUAUGUUAGAAUGAAUAUGAUGAAAGAAAAUUUUUAAGUUCGUAUU
Molecule: long non-coding RNA, 791 nt
Organism: Helianthus annuus (common sunflower)
Lineage: Eukaryota; Viridiplantae; Streptophyta; Magnoliopsida; Asterales; Asteraceae
Exons: 2
Source: RefSeq, a predicted model, not a curated record